Neofelis nebulosa (Clouded leopard) is the source of this 5235-nucleotide long non-coding RNA. RefSeq lists it as uncharacterized. The record is from RefSeq and is a predicted model, not a curated record. The transcript is spliced from 2 exons. Lineage: Eukaryota; Metazoa; Chordata; Mammalia; Carnivora; Felidae.
CCCACUCGUUAUCUCUCCCUCCCUCCCUCCCUCCCUCAAAAAUAAACAUUAAAAAAACGGGGUGGGAUGCAAAGCCCAUGGGAGGUAAUCGAAGGAGGUAUCCAGUGAUUGCUUUCAGGAAUUAAGGAGGGCCAUUUGGUGGGGAAGUAGCAAGGCUCACUGUGUGGCAUCUGAGCCUGGGACUUUUUGUUACCUUGAUAAUGACCAUUAUGAGGAUCCUGCGUAACUAAGCAAUAGACCGAGGAGAUAACCAGUAAAAAUAGGAAGUGAUGAGUCAGCAUUGAUGGCAAUAAUGUAAAAUUACGUUCCUAGACUUGAUUGGAAGGGGAUGUGGCUUUUCUCUUGGGUUCCUUUUCUAUCCUUUUCUUCAGUGCCCACUCAAAUACGUAGGUACGGAAAGUGAUUAGGGCCUGUGCAUUGAGAGCAGAUGCCUGGGUGUAGCCAUCUCUCAAUUAUACAUGGAGUGAACUUGUUGGCAACACAGUGUGGAGCCUCAGAGGGAAGGAGAGAGACCUAACCCUGACCUGCUGUAGCUCCUGCCUCAAAGGAGAGUUUAUUCCUAACCAUACACAUACUCUGAUGUGUUCUCACACUUACUCCACAUUCUCUGUGAUACAAUCUGAGUUUUUGAUUUUAAGUUAAUUUUAUGAUGAACUAUUUUGAGAGCACCAAGAAGGGUUUAUGGACACAAAUGUUACCAGAUGGUAUGGUGCCACCGGUGUGGCUAUACUUCCUGUCUAGUGGCAUGGUCCUUCUCAGAAUCAUUGUUUCAGGACGACGUAGCAACAUGGAAAGGUACUUUAAUUAACUAAGCAGGAAUACGACACUAAGUAAAUGAUAUAUACACUGUUAUUAUAACACCAUAAAAUGAUGUCUGCAAGGGAGAGCAUAAAGCACCGUUUUGGUUUUGGUUAGUUUUAUUGAGAUAUACUUUAUAGCCUUUACCCUUUUCUUUUUUUUUAAUUUUAAUUUUUUUUAAUGUUUUUAUUUCUUUUUGAGACAGAGAGAGACAGAGCAUGAGCAGGGGAGGGGCAGAGAGAGAGGGAGACACAGAGUCUGAAGCAGGCUCCAGGCUCUGAGCUGCCAGCACAGAGCCCGACGUGGGGCUCGAACUCGUGGUCUGUGAGAUCAUGACCUGAGCUGAAGCGGGAUGCCCAACCGACUGAGCCACCCAGGUGCCCCGCCUUUACCCUUUUCAAGUAUACAGUUUGGAACCAGUGACCUUGAAGGACAGGGUGGUGUACUUCAUCCAGAAGCGAUGGGCCAGCCUGAUGCCUGCUCGGAAGCCCCUGCCUGAGAUUUGAUGUUGGAGAUUUAUGGGACCGUAACCUCUCUAGGUAAGGCCUCUCUUUCCUCUAGGACUCAGUCUCUGGAGUUUCCUGGUUCCAUUCCUCUUGUGCGCUGAGGUGUCUCUCCUCAGUUGUUACCGUUGUUGUUUUAAUGUUUCUUUAUUUUUGAGAGAGAGAGACAGAGUGCAAGCAAAGAGGGCCAGAGAGAGAGGGAGACACGGAAUCCAAAGCAGGCUCCGGGCCCUGAGCUGUCAGCACAGAGCCCAACAUGGGGCUUAAACCCACAAACCAUGAGAUCAUGACUUGAACAGAAGUUGGAUGCCCAACCAACUGAGCCACCUAGGCGCAUUGGUUCUCUUUAGUAUUAAAACAGACGUCCCCAACUCCCUAUUAGAGGCUCUGCUCUGGGAAAAAUGGGAAACGAAAAGUUUUCUGAUGCCCUCCUUAAACCUCAUCCUUGUUUUCUUGAGAGGACCAUCUUGGUCCUCCACUGCUACUCCUCUAUUUUAGCACACACUCAGAUAGGGCCUCAUAAGUUCAGUUUCUUCCUUAGUAAGACAGUUGGGCUCUUGCUUGUUUUAAAAGUUUAUUUAUUUUGAGAGAGACAGAGAAAGUGAGCAGGGGAGGAGCAGAGACGGGGGAACAGGAUCCAAAGUGGGUUCCACGCCGACAGCAGAGAGCCUGAUGUGAGACUUGAACUUGCAAACUGCGAGAUCAUGACCUGAGCUGAAGUCGGGUGCUCGACUGACUGAGCCACCCAGGUGCCCCUGUUGGGCUCCUUCUUUAGAAGGCUCCUCUUUCCCUAAGGCCCACCUACCUUGUUCUCCUGGGUGGUCAGUUCCCUUUCCACUUGCUAAAAGCAGAGGAGGGGCUAGAAGGAGUUCCAGAGUCAGGUCUGAUUCCCAGCCCCCUCCUGUUCUGAUAGCCCUGCGGGGGCACGGAGAAGUACCACAGGCCCGGAUCUCUAGGCACAGGCUGGCAGAAGGGUCCUGAGAGAUGUCAGUGCGGGUGGGUAGGAGGACCUGUGAGCUGCCCUCCCUACUCAGUCUCUCCCUUUGUUUUAAUCAUUUAUCACCCAGAGGGGUUUUCUUUCUCAAAUGGCUGCUGUGGGGGAUGAAAAUGGUUACUCUUUUUUUUUUUUUUUUUAAGUUUAUUUAUUUAGAGACAGAGAAAGAGUACGAGCGGGGAGGGGCAGAGAAAGAGGGAGAGAGAGAGAAUCCCAAGGAGGAUCUUUACUGUUAGUGCAGAGCUCGAUGCGGGGCUCGAACUCACAAACUAUGAGAUCAUGACCUGAGCCUAAGCCAGACGCUUAACUGACUGAGCCACCCAGGCGCCCCAAAAAUGGUCACUCUUAAACAGAAGUGUUGUAGCUGCACUGACAGCUCAGAGCCCGGAGCCUGCUUCAGAUUCUGUGUCUCCCUCUCUCUCUGCCCCUCCCCUGCUCAUGCUCUGUCUGUCUCUGUCUCAAAAAUAAAUAAAAACAUUUAAAAAAAAACAAAACAAAACACAGAAGUGUUGUAGAACACUUGGCAAAGGCUCACUGGAGCACCAGCCCUGAACUGGACAGGACAGUCCCCGGGGAUGCAUGCGUGUGAGAGUUCUGCACAUUCUGCCACAUAUUUGUGUUACCCUCCCCCCCUCUGCCCCCCCAUACGUUUUUUUCAUGUAAUGGGAUAUGUUAAUGUUCUACUCUUUUCCACACAAAGAUGUAUUUUAAUUACAAUUAGAGAAAUAUAGUGUUCCAUGAACUAGCCUGGGGGAACAUACAUAACGUUAUCAUUCAUUGUUUCUAUGAGAACAUGUAAGGUUUCUAAACGUUGACCUAAAAGUGAACGUUUUGAGGCAUUCAUGGUCAUAACUGGGAUGGAAAUUAGCUUUCUUCAUUUGAAAGAAGUCCAUUAAGAAAGAUUCGUUAAAAAUCCAGAGAGUAUUUUGUGGCCUUUCCUAGUCUUGUCAGUCUAUUCCAAUUUUUCAAAUGAUACAGUUUUCAUAUGGCAUUUCUCCUUCUAAUUCAGCCCUACUGUUACCUUGAAGCAGUGCCUUCUCAGGAAGGGCCCCAUUCUAGGAAGGACUUAAGACUAUUUUGGUGAGAAAACUUCCCUGCAUCUACUGUGAAUUCUCUUUUUGGGUUUCUAUGUAGCCUGUUAAUGACCUUCACGGGGGGAUUCAGGGGGCUUUUCUUCCACUUGUUUAUAAUGGGUAUGCAAUAGGUAGAAUUCAAGAGAAAAAUCAGAAUUCAAGCUUAGUGCGUCCAGAUGUAGUUUGAGUCAAUCCCAGAUCACCUCUAAGAAAACCCAUUAAACUGUAGGAAAAGAGACAAUGAUUUUGAUUUCUGGAAAUUAUAUUUAUUAGCUGUGUUUUCCUGUAGUGAUUAGGAAGAAAACUUUUUUUUAAGUUUAUUUAUUUAUUUAUUUUGAGAGAGAGAGAGAGAGAGAGAGAGAGAGCGCACAAGCAGGGGAGGCUCAGAGAGAGGAGAGACAGAAUCCCAAGCAGGCUCUACACCGUCAGCGCAGAGCCCUAUGCAGGGCUCAAACUCAAACUGUGAGGUUGUGACCUGAGCUGAGACCAAGAGUUGGUGGUCACUUGACUGUGCCACCCAGGUGCCCCAGGAAGAGAACUUCUAAGUAGAGAGGAUCUUUGGUGCAGCAAGUAGGGUUCCAGGGAAGCUAGGGACGCACCAUGUUUUUUCACAGUCUGUAGGAGAGAGGAACCCCUGAAGAACCAUUGUGUUGUAGCCAUUUAGAGCAGGAGAGAAAAAUAUGGGAUCUCUGGGGUCCUGUUUGGUGGACAGGAAUUUGCCCUGCUCAUGGCCCAUCAUACGGGGACAGGAAUACUGGGAAGGCUGAGACUCUGUGCCUUGAAUUGUUUGUACUAGUCCUUCGUGGGCCGAUGGUUUAUUUAUAAAGAACUUGAUUGUGGGAGUAAAUUUCAGAAACCUAUUCUGCAGUGAGUUAGUGGUUCUUCAUCAAUGACAAGAUGAAAUAGAAUAAGAGCCCAUCUAGAAUAAUGCGUUAGAUACUAUACGGGAAAGAUAACAUCUUUGAUGGAGAGAAAAACUGUACAGAAAAACUGUACAGAUAAGGAAAAAAAUGUAAAUGAUUGCCUCUUCAGCACUUGACCGAAAACGAUUUUUUUUCAGGUACUCAAGGACUAAUGGAAUUAAUUUUGGAAAUAGGAUUUAAGCUUAUAGUCAGAACAGGGACAUUGGGUAAAUGGUAGCAAAAUGAAAGAAGAUAAGCUAACUGAGCAGGAAGAAAAGGAAUUUCCUUAGAAGAAAGUUCAAGUCCAUAAAAGCCAGGCCAGGCAGAUAUAAAAGGGAGCAGGGAAUUCAUACAUAUAUAUAAAAUGUGUGUAUACAAAAUGUGUGUAUAUAUAUAUGUAUAAUGUAUGUAAUGUAUAAUAUAUAUGUAUAUAAACUGGCCCUGAAGAUGUGACUAAACAUCAUUAUUGGAGCAUGUGCUCAGCGACAGAAGGAAGAAUGAGGAGGACAUAGUGUCCAGAAAAGCAUGGGUCCACUGUGGGGAAAUUGUGAAGACUCACUAUGACAGUUGUGCAGCAGGACUGAAACUUGUGUCCUCAUACUGUUAGAGUGGGCAGUUAGUUAGGUUCUAACAGGAUACUUGGAGGCCAGCCCCAAGGAAGUCAUGGCCAGCUAUUGGGAAGGUCAGAGGCCUGUCCUGGCACCACUCCACCACAAGCCAGAUCAAACCAGACAGACCCAAGAUGGCAGAUGCCAUGACAGGAAACUCCUGAUCAAAUUAGAAGAAAAAGCUCUAAACACUGCUUCUUCCCCAAGUAAUGAAUAUUACACCCCUAGUUAACAACUGUCAAUCAAAGAUAGAAACUGAAUCCCCUGGGCAUGCAACUCUCCCUCUCUCUCUUUCUCUCACCCACUCUCAUAUCUUGAGUGUACUUUUCGCUUUAAUAAACUUUUCCACUUGUGUCA